This 5129-nucleotide small RNA is filed under the name Pan troglodytes (chimpanzee). RNAcentral describes it as "retained intron". Lineage: Eukaryota; Metazoa; Chordata; Mammalia; Primates; Hominidae. The record is from RNAcentral.
AUGGUUCCUUCCAAGCCACAGUGUAGCGAACCUCAUCACAACACAAUUCUGCUGGGCUGGAUUUGUCCCAAGUGUGGAUCAUGGCCAAAGCAGCUGUGAUGUGGCAAGCUCAUGGAAGCUAACGGGAGGCAGUGUGAUGUGGAGGGGAAAGUGCAAGACACUAAGUCAGGACAUCUGGGUUCUGGGUCCUGGACUUGUGUUAUUUCAAGGUGUGCCCUUGAGCCAACUGAAUGAAAAUGCUUUCAGGGCCUCAGUUUCCCCCAAGCUGAUUCAAAUUAAAAAAAAAAAAAAAUUUUUUUUUGAAACAGAGUCUCACUCUGUUGUGUCCGGAAUUGGUGGGUUCUUGGUCUCGCUGACUUCAAGAAUGAAGCCACGGACCUUCGUGGUGAGUGUUACAGUUCUUAAAGGUGGUGUGUCCAGAGUUUAUUCCUUCUGGUGGGUUCGUGGUCUCGCUGACUUCAGGAGUGAAGCUGCAGACCUUCAUGGUGAGUGUUACAGCUCUUAAAGGCGGCACAUCUGGAGUUGUUCGUUCUUUCCAGUGGGUUCGUGGUCUUACUGGCCUCAAGAGUGAAGCUGCAGACCUUCACGGUGAGUGUUACAGUUUGUAAAGGUGGCGCAUCCGGAGUUGUUCAUUCCUCCUGUCUGGCGUUGUUCGUCCUUACAGAGAGCUGAUUGGUCCGUUUUGACAGACUGCUGAUUGGUGCGUUUACAAUCCUUUAGCUAGACACAGAGUGCUGAUGGGCGCAUUUACAAUCCUUUAGCUAGACAGAAAAGUUCUCCAAGGCCCCACCCCACCCAGAAGCCCAGUAGGCUUCACCUCUCAAUAGCACUCGCUGCGGGACUUUGCGGCACCUAGCCCAGGCACUCCGGCAGCCCAGAGGGAGCUCAUCCCCCGAUCAAGCCCAGCAGGCGUCGGCCGCGACAGGCCCAGUCCGCGCCCACCCGGAACCCGCGCCGGCCGACGAGCGAGCUGCGGCACGCAGCCCCGGCUCCUGCCUGCGCCUCUCCCUCCACACCUCCCGGCGAGCAGAGGCUCAGGCCUCGACCAGCCCCAGAGAAGGGCCCCACAGCGCAGCGGCGGGCUGAAGGGCUCCUCCAGCGCGCCAGAGCGGACGCGGAGGCCGACGAGGCGCCGAGAGUAAGCAAGGGCUGCUAGCACGUUGUCACCUCUCACUGUCACCUAGGCUGGAGUGCAGUGGUAAAUCUCGGCUCACUGCAACCUCCACCUCCCGGGUUCAGGUGAUUCUUGUGCCUCAGCCUCCUGAGUAGCUGGGAUUACAAGCACGCGCCACCACUCUGCUAAGAAAUGUUUUAAAUCUGUGCAAAAGCCAUUUUCAAAGAGAAGAAGAUAGCUGAGAAACAACAGAAAAGGGAAGGUCAGCCCACAAAGAAUGAGUAGAGGCUUAAGUUCAAAAAGACAAAGAUACAGAGUCAUAUAUGGCCAUUGGCUCCUAAAAGAGCUACUUAUGAGUAUCAAGUAUGGAAAGAACUUGUUGUUGGACAUUCGUCCCACAGAAGAGACUAAACCCUUCGUCAGUAGAGCCAUGUGCUUAGCUAAAUCUAUUCCUCAAAUAAACAUUCCUUUAGAACAUUAAAGUUACUUUUUUUUUUUUUUUUUUUGAGAUGGAGUCUCACUCUGUCUUGAGUGCAGUGGCGUGAUCUCAGCUCACUGCAACCUCUGCCUCCCAGGUUCAAGUGAUUCUCCUGCCUCAGCCUCCGGAGUAGCUGCGACUACAGGCGCGCACCACCACGCCCGGCUAAUUUUUGUAUUUUUAGUAGAGAUGGGGUUUCACCUUGUUGGCCAGACUGGUCUCGAACUCCUGGCCUCAAGCAAUCCACCCACCUCGGCCUUCCAAAGUGCUGGGAUUACAAGCAUGAGCCACCGCACCUGACCAAAUUUACUUUCUUAAGGGAAAAAAAAGAAAAGCAAAAUAAAACCUAUCCUUUUGCGCCAUGGAGUUUUAGGGUCGGGCAGUCUUGGAGGGAAAUCCUUACUCAAAACCUCACUAGUGGUACAACUUUGAGUGGGUUACUAUACCUUUUGCACCUCAGCUGCCACACCUAUAGAGAACAUUGACAAUGACAGCAUGGAGGGGAGUCAUGGCCAUCACACGACAGCCCCAUGCUGGUGUCCGGGUGGUGCCUUCUUCCCGGCUGGCUCCACGGUUUCCAUGGUUUCUGUUAGUCCCCUCCCUCCAUCCCCACUUUGGCAUUUGCCUUUGUUUGAUUCAUGUUUCCACCCUUCCUCUUGCCCCUCCACAUUAUGAGGAAAAAGGGAAGCCUCUGAUCUCUCUAUUUGGAAGUUUGCAGAAGCCUUUUCCUACUUCAGUGAAGUGCAGUCAUACAAAAUUUAUACUCAACAGCAUCAGCAGAUUUUUUUCCAUCAAUAUUUCCUUUUUAAUUUCAGCUUUAUCUGGAUUUUAAUAGCAUAAAGAAUUUACUUUUGUUCUUUUAAAGAGCAACCAAAACAAGAAUAAUAUAUAUUUGAAUAUAAGGUCUUAACACUAUGUUUAACAUUGUGUUUAGGCUAUGCCUAUAGAGGUUACAGGUGUUUUUUGGUGAGUAAAUUAUGAAUGCCAUGGGUGUAUAUGUGCUUAUAAUCUUACAUACAUAUGAACUAGGUGUGUGUGUGUGUAUGGUAUAUAUAAAAAGUCAUGAGAUCCAGAUCUGACCACCUUGAUCUUUUUUCCUCUUUGAUUUUCACUACAGCAAACACUGAACCUAGAGCCAAUCUUCACAUGAACCUUUAUGAAACCUCACCGUUGACCCAAACAACAGAGAAGCAGGGAGCCCAGCAGUCCUUGGAGGCAGCAGCUCAGAAGACAGGAGAGCCUCAAAGUUGUAUAAAUAAAGGGCUGAUAUGUUCAAACAGAAAAGAAUUUUACACGCGCAAGCUGCACAUCGACAUGACGCCGUUCCUGAAGGAAAGUGGAAAUGCACUGGACUAUCAGGAAGAAGCAGGGAGACCCCUCAGAGAAACUCACCACGACGGCCAAGACCCAGAGCCAAGGAGUAUGACCCUUGACUCUCUCAGGGCUUCCCGGACUGAGCACAUCCAGACCCCAGAAGCAGAUAUUGUGCAAAAGGUGGGCAGAGAUUAUGAUGUACACCACCUACACAGAGGACUUCUGGGAUACGGGCCUGAGUCACCCGAGAGGUUGAGUGCUGUGUAUACAUCUCUUCUUCCAAGAGAAAGAGAAGGGAAGGCUGAACCAAGACUGUUUAGCCAGGAGACAUCAGCCAGCAUCAGUCAUGAGAGGGAUUUGAUUAACGAGGCCAAGAGAAAGGAAAAACCCAAGAAAGACAAAACCAAAGGACCCAAAAGGGAGAGAGAAGGAAAGGUCUACGGGCAAGCAGAGGCUGCCAUUGGAAAGUCAAAGGACUCAAAGGCUAAAAAAAAAUUAGAAAAAAAAACAAGACCCCAAAGGAAAAGGACACAGAAGGAAAGAAAUCUGGAGAUAGCGGCAGAGCUGAGCGGGCCUGAUGUCAGCUAUGAGGAAACAGAAGACACCUCAAAUAGAGGUUCCUUUGCCUCAGACUCCUUUGUAGAGGACCCUUGGCUUUCUCCCAAAUACGAUGCCCAGGAAAGCCAAGUUUCUCUAGAUGGAAGAUCAUCACCCUCUCAGAUUGCAACUGUCACUGGCAACAUGGAAUCUAAAGAAGAGAGAAGAUGUGAGGACCCUUCCAAGGCCCUCCUCACUAAGAGGGAGCAGGAGAAGGCUUCCUGGGACAGGCUUCGAGCAGAAAGAGCCGAGAUGAGGUGGCUGGAGGUGGAGAAGAAGAGAAGGGAGCAGGAAGAGCAAAGGCAGCUCCAGCAGGAGCAGCUGGAGAGAGCAAAAAAGAUGGAGGAGGAGCUGGAGCUGGAGCAGCAGAGACGUACAGAAGAGAUCCGCUUGAGGAAACAGAGACUCCAAGAAGAACAGCAGCGGCAGGAGGAGGAGGAGAGAAAGCAGCAGCUCCGGUUGAAAGCAGCCCAGGAGAGAGCCCGGCAACAGCAAGAGGAGUUUCGGAGGAAACUGCGAGAACUACAGAGAAAAAAGCAGCAGGAGGAAGCCGAGAGGGCCGAGGCAGAGAAGCAAAGGCAAGAGGAAUUGGAAAUGCAGUUAGAAGAAGAACAAAAACACCUGAUGGAAAUGGCUGAAGAGGAACGACUGGAGUACCAGCGGCGGAAACAGGAAGCAGAAGAGAAGGCUCGGCUGGAGGCAGAGGAGAGGAGGCAAAAAGAAGAGGAAGCAGCAAGACUGGCUCUGGAAGAAGCCACGAAACAAGCUCAGGAACAAGCCAGGUACUGGAUAUUUGGGCAACAGUUGCCAUAGGGGGAUGGUUCAAGGGCUUCACUGUCCAGUGCUAGUGCUAGCUUUGCACUGCCUUUAGACAAGAAAAGUCCCCCCACCCCCAGCAUGGCUUGGAAGACUGAAAGGCAUAGAGGGAUUCUUUUGCUGCAAAUGUCAAGGAUUCCUUUGUAGCUUAAUGAAGUUGUAAUGAAUCUACAAGGGAGUUUGGAGAUAUCUACGUCAAUCCCCUAGUUUAUAGAUGAAAAAAGCAAGUCCCAAAGAGGGAAAGGAUCUUGAUCACAGACAAACAGUGACUUAGGGACAAUGCCAAGACCAGAUCUAAGACCCCCUGAUUUCGAACCCACUGCCUGCCUUGAUAUCUACUGAGUGCCUGUUAUGUGCCAAACACUGUUCUAGACACUAGGAAUUCAGGAGUAAGCAAGACAGAGAAGGUCUCUCUUCCCAUCACAUUUACAUUCUAGGGGUGGGAAUGGAGACAGACUCUAAACAAAUAUUUUUUAAAGCUAGCAAUAAAUGCUAUGCAGAAAAAAUUUAACGAUGUGAUAGGACACCGGGCACAGUGGCUCACACAUGUUAAUUCCAGCACUUUGGGAGACCAAGAAGAGAGAAUCACUUGAGCUCAGGAGUUCAAGACCAGCCUAGGCAACUAAGUGAAACCCCCAUCCCUACAAAAAAAAAUCAAAAAAUUAGCCAGGUGUGGUGGUGAAUGCCUGUGGUCCCAGCUACAUGGGAGGCUGAGGCAGGAGGAUCGCUUGAACCUGGGAGGUCAAGGCGGCAGUGAGCUAAGAUCAAGUCACCACACUCCAGCCUGGGUGACAGAGCAAGACUCUCUUU